UGGGGAAUAUUGCACAAUGGGCGCAAGCCUGAUGCAGCCAUGCCGCGUGUAUGAAGAAGGCCUUCGGGUUGUAAAGUACUUUCAGUCGGGAGGAAGGCGAUAAGGUUAAUAACCUUGUCGAUUGACGUUACCCGCAGAAGAAGCACCGGCUAACUCCGUGCCAGCAGCCGCGGUAAUACGGAGGGUGCAAGCGUUAAUCGGAAUUACUGGGCGUAAAGCGCACGCAGGCGGUCUGUCAAGUCGGAUGUGAAAUCCCCGGGCUCAACCAGGGAACUGCAUUCGAAACUGGCAGGCUAGAGUCUUGUAGAGGGGGGUAGAAUUCCAGGUGUAGCGGUGAAAUGCGUAGAGAUCUGGAGGAAUACCGGUGGCGAAGGCGGCCCCCUGGACAAAGACUGACACUCAGGUGCGAAAGCGUGGGGAGCAAACAGG
RNAcentral lists this ribosomal RNA (429 nucleotides) under Chloroflexota bacterium. RNAcentral's name for it is "Chloroflexi bacterium partial 16S ribosomal RNA". It matches the Rfam family "Bacterial small subunit ribosomal RNA", at positions 355 to 776 of the family's 1533-position model. Lineage: Bacteria; Bacillati; Chloroflexota. The record is from RNAcentral.